CUGGCUGCACCCCUGCAGUGGCGGAGCCAGAAAGUGUUCAUUGGGGUGGCCAAGGUGAGACCAUUACUCACAUACGGGUGGCAAAAAGUUGAUACCUGAAUUGUCUAGAUGGCCAGUGGGGUGGCCGGAGAGUGACCAGGGGUAGCUCCGCCACUGCUUUUGGACCGUCCUUUAGAGCAACUAAUAGCUGAGCAGUGUGCCAAGGACAUGCACGGAAGUUGAUGCCGAUCGACUCAUUGGUUUGCACGCCCACUCAUGCUGCCACAGAGAGCUUCCAUUAUUAACAGAUUUAUGUGCUGAAUCACGCUUUAGAAUUUAAGUUAAAGUCAAGAUAGUGAGAAAACCUGACCGGAACCAACUGAAGUAAUCAUGGAAAACUUACCUACCACUUGCGUCACUUGAUCCUCCACACGGAAAGUUGUGUGCUGCAGUGAAAUGCGUCCUUGUGGAAACAGCGGUCUGGCUGAACUAUUGUUCUGCACCACAAGCCGUGGGGGUGGCUGGAGAGUGACCAAGGGUGCUACGGCCACCCAGUAGUUUAAGCCACUGUUGGCUAUAUGAUAUGAAAAAAGGAACUAUAAAAUAAUGUAAUUUAUACAAAACAUAUUUUAUUUACUUUUUGAAAACAACUCGUGAAACCUUCAGAGGACGAGACGCCUUUUUAAAGCAGACUUUGGCGAGCUUCCACCGCUGAGAACGGCUGCUCUGGUCCAAUUAAUUCAAUUAUUUUUCAGGUUUUUAGCUUAGCCUUCUGUCACACACAUACCGGUGGGCGGCGGUCCGUUUGUGUAGCGCAACAUAGGGUGAAAAGACCGGGCGAAGUUGUUGGCCUCGGAGCAGCUCGAGUCUCUCUCCGACUGAGGCACCAAACAGGGGAGGAGAAGCAGGAGCAGCAGGAGGAGGUGAAAGGGGAUGGCGGCUCUUAGCACCCGGUGGAAGAAGGACAGCGGUGGAGACGGGUCUCUCCUAUGGAUCGACGUAUGGAUCAAGUUUACGUCAGGAAUAUCAACAUACAGUAAAGUAAACACUAUGAACAGCUAGAAAUGGACAUCUCGUAAAUUAUUAGUAAUAUAAUACUAUCAAUAUUCUAUUCAUUCAUUCAUGAAUGAAUAUUCUAAAUAUUUUAUAAUGUUUUUUAUAUAUUAAGUAAAUAUAAAAAGUCCCCCUGAACAAUUUGGUAUAUGAAUUAAAAUAAAUAAUCAUAUAGUCAUUAUGAUGAUAACUCUUGUCAGUUUCCUAGUUUUAAGGCACAGUGAGCCCCUUCAGUGCAUCAUUAUCCAAACCAUUCCACUUGUUCAUACAAUAACAACACCAAAUCAAUCAAUCAAUACUAAUUUCUCAGUCUUUGCUGUCACGCUAUGAUAGAGGAGACAGUGGUGUACCUUUUGGUGGAUUUUUUUCGGUGUGUGACCUCCUGAGAAGAAUCUGGAGGAAUGUUUUGACCUUCAUUAGUGUCCCGAUCCUGGAUUUAGAAAGACAAAGCAUUAUCAGAUACUGAUACUGAUAACUUUUUUAAAUUUAGAUUUAACUGUAGUCUGUGCACACCUGGAGGUAAGAAGGACUUGAACGUAUGUGGAUUUGACCAACCGUACCUGUUAAUUUGUCUUACUCCAAUAUCCUGACAUGAUGGCCACCACACCACUACUAUCUGGAGACCCAUAGUAUAGAGGGGAGGGAGCCACCUGCUGUGGCCCAGCAAGGUGCACUAUAUUUGGACACAUGCUCUGAGUAGCCGGUGUGACGCCACAGAGGUCUUGGGCAAACCUUUUGCAAUUUUGAAACUCCGCGGCACUGGCGGUUCAGGUGGCUGAUACGGUUUGUUGUGUGCUUGGUGGGGUUUUUUUCCCCUCAUCGCAGAGCAUUUGGUACAACGUCUCAGAAGAAUACAAAUUGUGUCUCAAUUCAUGCGCUUCCACAUUUAGCAUUUUGAAUUUUUGCAUUGAGAAGUGGGGCAAAAUGCAAUGUACAGUAUCUGGAUGUUGCCCUCGACACGCCCCAAAUGGUGAGUGUGCAGCAAUGGGUGCUAAGGGGAGGGACCAAUAGAAUAAAAUACUAGGAUCUUCAUAUCAGGUAACUGCGCAACAGUAAUACUGUAGAUCUGGGACAGCACUGCACUGUCAAAAUGUCCUCAGGAAGUAAGUACACAGUGUCCAUGAAUUACAGGACUGCAUUUGAGACACAGCCUGGGUGUUGAGUUACCAGACGUUCUUGUUCAAGGACGCUCAGGUCCUGGGACACGUCCUUCAGGAGCAACUUCAGUUUGGUGCCCGUCACGUGGAGCUUCUCCUGGGCCUCGUCACUUCCCUCCACCCCUUCCUCCGGCUGGAGCUGAGACCACAGAGCCUGGAGGGAGGCCUGCUGAGUCUGCCUCUCCAGCAGCUCCUUCUGCAGUACCUCCACACCACAACAACAAGGAUCCUUACUAUAUCAUCAUGCACUACUACUACAAAAACCCGAUAUACUUACAGUGAGGGUGUGCCGGUGCUGUUUGAGAGCUUGCACAGGUGUUUCUGGAUGCCUGAUGUCCACCGCGUGGCGUUUCUUGUCGGCGUGGGCCAACCACAGCAGCAGAGAGUGGAGGCUCUCAUGGAACUCCUGCAUGAUGGAUGAUAUUCUAGCGCAUGAGAGUCCGCCUCAGGCUGGCGUCCCACUGCUGAAGAAUUGCAGAAGCUCGACUCCAGGCUCGAUUCAGACCAGCCAGCCUCUCCUGCUGCUCAGGGACUUCCAGAGCCCGCAGGUUGGUAGACAACAUGAUGGGCUUGUAGUGCGUAAACAUCUUCUGCAACUCCUGCAAGAGUGACAAACAUGAACGUCACCAGUAGCUCUUUGUCCAACCAAGGAGGUAUUACAUUACCGCUAGCUGUUGCUUUCUGACUUUACACGAUUAAACAAAAACUAAGUGAAUUCAUUUGAAUGACGUUUUGCGAACAAAAAAUUGCAACUUACAACAUUUUGGUGAAAAUCUGAAUAAAAAUGUGGACAGACAGAUUUUGCUUUCUCUUUUGCCUGUUUGAUUCAGUACGGAAACAUCAAAAAUGGUGUGGUCCUGUCGUCUUAUGUAAUCCUGCAUCAUUACGUGCCAUUUAUUGCCAUCUACUACCUUGGUCUUA
Dunckerocampus dactyliophorus (ringed pipefish) is the source of this 3110-nucleotide long non-coding RNA. RefSeq lists it as uncharacterized. NCBI's taxonomy places the organism in Eukaryota, Metazoa, Chordata, Actinopteri, Syngnathiformes, Syngnathidae. The transcript has 3 exons. The record is from RefSeq and is a predicted model, not a curated record.